Dreissena polymorpha is the source of this 1334-nucleotide long non-coding RNA. RefSeq lists it as uncharacterized. The record is from RefSeq and is a predicted model, not a curated record. Lineage: Eukaryota; Metazoa; Mollusca; Bivalvia; Myida; Dreissenidae. The transcript has 2 exons.
GGUUUAGCACUGCACCGGGGAUGAACAACUUUUGUCACGUGACCACAAAAGUCAACGCAGGUUGUUGAAUUACAUCAGGAAUCCCGCUCCGUCAGAAUGACACGAAAAAAGUCUCACCUCGGGCGGACCAAACGAAGGACUGGAUUGCAUCACACUUCUGAAUUCCUACCGCCAACAACCUCGCCUUUUCGAACAGCAAUGAAACGAAAAUUAACACCAAUGAAGUCUCCAAUUCAGCAACCCUUUCGAUCUCCUUUGUAUAAAGCAAAACGAAAAUCGCACCGAGAACUAUUUAAAGACAAUGAUAAUCGCGAUACUAACUGGGUUAUUGAUAUGAACUCUCAAAUUCAAAGUGACAACGCGCCAAAUCCAAUGAAUGAUAUUUUUGACAAAGAGGAGAACAACAAUAAGUGCAGUGCAACACAAACACAGAAUGUUACCGUUGAAAAUUGCACACAAACGGAAAAUGAUUAUGCAUCAAAUAUACUUACCAACCCUAAUAUAGCAAAUAACAUCGCAAAAGAAUUAAAGGAAAUGGUGGACGUUGUCGUCAAAAAGGUUAAUUGCCAAGUUGAAGAAGAUCAAUUUCAUGUAUUCACUAAGAGUCUAGGACACGGGUUCGAACCGUCGACGAGUACAGGGGUCAUAAUUGCCUGAAAAUGAUACUCAGUACUGUUAAUAAUUCAUGAUUCGACAUAAAAUGUGAUUACAUUUUAUUGUCUUUGCUUCGGAUGAUGUCAAGCUGAAAAACUCGCUCUCAGUAAAUAAGAUGGUAAAUGUUGUAAAAUAAAUAGUUUUCGAUAACAAAUAUCAUGUUUCAGGGACCACGAAUUUGACAUUCCAAAACGGAAGGAACCUAAACGAAAAUUUGACACCGUGUCAACAAGCAGAAACGCUCUCCAGAAGGGAACGUUGGGUGCCGAUGGGAGAGGGCAAGACGAAAUGACAGCAAAAUGCUUCUAACAUCAAAAAUGGGAAUUGACAUUGACCCGUAAAAGGAAAUCAUAAUAUCAUACGACAGUUUGUAGUUCUUUAAAAGACAGCUGUCAUUUUUGAUAUUCGUUAACCAACGUUACCUAUAUUGAUUCCGUGUAAUGCUACUGAAUUUGAUUUUGUGUUGCUCUUUCUAUGUUUAUGCAUUGAGGAGCUACCAAUAUUGGGGCCGUAUAAUAUGCUGCCUAUAUUGACGCUGUGGGAUGCUUCAUUUAACGAGGCCUACCGGUAUAUUCAACCUUUUUGGGGGAUUUGAAACAACAACAGACAUAUUGGAUCUAACUUUAUUUUGUUUGCUGUUAUUUGUUUCAAGUUUUAAAAUUACAGUUUCUAAAAAAUGC